Long non-coding RNA from Homo sapiens (human), 782 nucleotides. Ensembl annotates it as long intergenic non-protein coding RNA 2740. NCBI's taxonomy places the organism in Eukaryota, Metazoa, Chordata, Mammalia, Primates, Hominidae. The record is from Ensembl.
UUUUUUUUUUCCUCAGAUGAUCACACCCACUUUGCUUCACUUUCAUGUCCAGAGCUGCUUAGACUGAUUUCUGCAAAGUGCACAGGCAUUUUCAUGCUGAGGAUAAAGAUACAGAUUUUUAAAACAUAUUCUUAUGCAAGGAAGGAAAAAGUGUCGGUGAAUGACUUCAUAUUUCUAUUGUGACUUCUAUGUGCUCUGCACGGUUGCUGGAGUUCAGAAAACAUUGGAAAGAGUUAAAUGAGAAUGCAUAUGAGGACCAUGAUCGCUUGUCUGGACCCAGAAAAUAUUUCCCAUUUGCUACACAGAUGCCGUCUCAUCCUUCCAGAGUUCAAGACUUCAGCAGAAAAAAAAAUCACCUCAUUAAAGGAAAAUUGUGCCUUAUCCCCACUACUCGAAGAUGCAACCAUCUGCCUGGUCACAGCCACUUUUUUCCUUUUUUUCUCACUCCAUCGUAUGUGUGUGUGGUGGGGCAGGGGAUAAGGGGAAUAAUCUCUCUCCAGUAUAAGAAGACAUUUUCAUUUAGAAAGAUAUUGCUAGCAAUUACUUUAGAAAGAUGGUGUGACAGAAACAACAAAGUCGAGACAGUUACUACUUAAGAUAUGUGACUGAAUUCCUGAGGUGCUAGAAUCUGAUUCUCAGUAUCUGAUUCCCUUUCUAAAAUGGUAAGAGGAAUUUUGUUGUUUUCUUGUUUUUGGCUGUCUGUUUUUGAAAGGGAAAGAAUAUCUCACAUCAUCCUGUUCUGAUCAAUAACAUAAUAAAAUCACAUUUCUGAAAACUUCAAA